CUGCGGCAGGCUACAGGGCCUCCUCAUGCUCCCAGUCAGCCGCUGUCUGUUACUGGCUCUGUUCUUGAGGCCCGAGCUUGAACUCAGCUGUGAUGUGGCCUCUCAGAUCACACUGUCCUAUGCUUGUCCAGCCUGAGGUCAAACAUACCCCUGAUUCGUCCCCUGGGUCUCUCUGGUGUUAACAUUCUGCCUCCACACAUUCUUUUCCAGGCCCGAGGCCAAGUGCCCGUCUUGGUGUCUUCUUACAGGCCACUCUGCCCUUCCACUGCAGUGCCAUCCUGGCUACAGCCCUGGACACAGUCACUGUUCCUUAUCGCCUGUGUUCCUCUCCAGUUUCCAUGGUUCAUCUGGCUGACAUGCUGAGCUUCUGUGGGAAAAAGGUAUGAAGCUUUGUGAGGGGUUGGGUCAGUGCUGAGAAAAUGUCCUAUAACGUGUUCUCUUCCAUCUGUUUAGGUGGUGACAGCAGGAGCAAUCAUCCCUUUCCCCUUGGCUCCAGGCCAGUCCCUUCCUGAUUCCCUGAUGCAGUUUGGAGGAGCCACCCCAUGGACCCCACUGUCUGCAUGUGGGGAGCCUUCUGGAACACGUUGCUUUGCCCAGUCAGUGGUGCUGAGGGGUAUAGACAGAGCAUGCCACACAAGUCAGCUCACCCCAGGGACACCUCCACCCUCUGCCCUUCAUGCAUGUACCACUGGGGAAGAAAUCUUGGCUCAGUAUUUACAACAGCAGCAGCCUGGAGUCAUGAGUUCUUCCCAUCUGCUGCUGACUCCCUGCAGGGUGGCUCCUCCUUACCCCCACCUCUUCUCAAGCUGCAGUCCACCGGGUAUGGUUCUGGAUGGUUCCCCCAAGGGAGCAGCAGUGGAGAGCAUCCCAGUGUUUGGGGCACUGUGUUCCUCUUCGUCCCUGCACCAGACCCUGGAAGCCUUGGCCAGAGAC
Molecule: small RNA, 933 nt
Filed under: Pan troglodytes (chimpanzee)
Lineage: Eukaryota; Metazoa; Chordata; Mammalia; Primates; Hominidae
Description: processed transcript
Source: RNAcentral